This 344-nucleotide unclassified non-coding RNA is filed under the name soil metagenome. Its description in RNAcentral is "partial contains 5.8S ribosomal RNA, internal transcribed spacer 2, and large subunit ribosomal RNA". The stretch from base 1 to 120 matches the Rfam family "5.8S ribosomal RNA", at positions 35 to 154 of the family's 154-position model. The record is from RNAcentral.
GAUGAAGAACGCAGCAAAAUGCGAUAAGUAAUGUGAAUUGCAGAAUUCAGUGAAUCAUCGAAUCUUUGAACGCACAUUGCGCCCGCCAGUAUUCUGGCGGGCAUGCCUGUUCGAGCGUCAUUUCAACCCUCAAGCCCUCGGGUUUGGUGUUGGGGAUCGGCGAGCCUUUCUGGCAAGCCGGCCCCGAAAUCUAGUGGCGGUCUCGCUGCAGCCUCCAUUGCGUAGUAGUAAAACCCUCGCAACUGGAACGCGGCGCGGCCAAGCCGUUAAACCCCCAACUUCUGAAUGUUGACCUCGGAUCAGGUAGGAAUACCCGCUGAACUUAAGCAUAUCAAUAACGGGGA